AAAAAAUAAUCGCCAUUUCAUAUCAACAAUAUAACGAGUCCCAUUACUAUACUCUUACAAGUAUGAUUGCCUUCGUAUUUAUAGAUCGUUUUCGAUUAUAAACCUUCCGAAUCGACGAUCCAUACCAUUAAAUAUUAUCUAGAAAAUUUGAAACUUCUAAAAACUAAAUUUUAUAAUUUUUCGACAUCAUUUAUCUCACGAUCAAAAUAUUUCAAAAUUGACAACUUUUAACUGCCGGUAUGAGAUAGUUGCUAGUUUAAUAAUGUAAAAGAAUCAAAAUGGAUUGAAUUUUUGGUAGAAAAAUUCUAUUCACUAUUUAAAAAAAUCAAUAACUCCGAUCUUAGAUUAAAGAAUUCGAUCCUCUAAUUUUAUGAGGUCGUUCAAUAUUGAUUGUUCGUUUUAUGCCAGCUUGAUGAACUUUAUUAUAAUUUCAAAAAAUUCUGAAAUUAGUUUCUAAAAGUUUCAUAUGAUUUAGAUCAUAUUUAACGAUAUGAAUCGUCGAUUUGAAAAAUUUAUUAUCGAAAACGACUUAUGAGAACGAGAACUCUAUACUUGUAAGAGUUUAGUAGUCCUACUCACAAUCUAACUUAAUUUAUAAACAUCGUCGCAUGCUGAAGACAUACAACUUGCCAAAAAAAUCAAGCAUAUCGGCCACAUGAAAUUUUGCAGAACAAAAGGCAUACUUCUGUACAAGGAGUCGCAAUUUACUUGGACUCAAAAUUAGAAAAGAUUCCAGGACAACCAAUUAAGAUUGUAUGAUCAUCUGAACCGGUGACCAUUAGUUACGACAAGGAGUGAUUUAAAUCUACAGAAAAGUAUCCUAAGAUGUAGAUAUAGACAAAGUGUGAAAAGAAUAUAGGGUGAAAAUUAAGAGCACAACAGUAUCUUGAAAGCAUGACCCGUUUAACUUGCAAAGCACUAUAGUGACAUUUUGAUCCCUCAAAUUCAUGUCACUGACUAGUCACCAAAAAACCAUCUUUCACCGCUAGAAUUCCCCCACUGAUCCCGUAUAUCGAAGGCACAAUUUACACCAAAUUGUUGCUUUAGUACCCUCAAAAGAACAGAGGUGAUUUAGAUAGACUCCAUCCUGGAAUAAAAAUUGAUCAAUAGGCUCCACUCCAUUCCAAAGGACGAACAUACUUUCUAUGUAGUAAAGAGAUCCACUCCCUGGUAAAACCCUCCUGUGUUCCUUUUUGAUGAGGAGAAGUCCAAAUAGGUUGGUGCACCAAUUUCAUUUUGCAUCUCAUAAGACAGAAGGGGGCACUCAGCUAAAAGUUCAGAUACAAAAUUUACUAUACAUCGAGGUCUAUAGCUGGACUGAUGAUAUAGCAUCCUGAGCCAUAGUACAAUAUGCGCUCUACCAACAUAGAAUAACCCAACUAGAAAAACAGCUAAAAAGAAAGAAAAGAGGAUUCUUGGGAGUAAGGGAGCCUACCCAAACUCUUCUAAACAUAGUAAAAGAGAAAAAAUAAAAAAUAAAAGGGGGGUUAAAAGUGCAUGACAUGGACUGGGGCCCAUGGAACCAAUCAAAGACCUGAUCCCUCUUUAAAUACAAGCUGCCAUGGACCAUAACUCAUUCACUCAAGAUGCUGGGAAUCAGUACUAAACUCCAUUAAAUUAAAAGGGAACACUGACCCAAUCAUGUUGGCCAUUUCAUGAAUGAAUGAUUGCAUUCUAAAAGCCACACCUCUCCUUCGGCCCUAUCCCCCCCCCCCCCCCCCCCCACCUUCCCUUCGGAGCACAGAAGAGUUCAUUAAUUGAUUGUUCAAGACCAUCUGACCUCACAUGAAGUCCUCCACUGUGCACUCAGUAGAUCUCAGUCCCUCUCCAGCAAAUCCACGCCAUAUAAAAACAUAGGCCAAUUCCCUAAUCAUCACAGUUGCAGGCGAAAGGGACCUAUUUGGAUGUCAGAAUAUUUUUUUUUUUGAGAGAUGAUGUCAGAAUAUAUUACUUGUAGAUAACUUGUGCGGUUUGGAGAUUUUACUUCGUAAUUGCAAUCUAGAAAUUUUAUUUCAGUCUGUUAUAGAGUGCUCAUAAUUCUGAAUAAUCUAAUCUUUAUACCAGACUUUAUCAUCACAUUCCAAGAAAACCCAUAUACUAUAUUGUUCUGGAUAUUUCGCACUCCCCAUCAACCAAUUACCAAAUGCCCUUUGAUUAAGCAAAUGUGACGCCCCCAACUUUCCAAGGGGAUCACCAAUCUUAUGACUACUCUCAUCUUAGCACGCUUAACUCUCUUAACCUCUUGGGCCUAGCCGCCAUAUAUGCUUAAGUCGGAUUAAGAGUUUUAGUCCUAUUAUAUCUUACAUAUAGUACUACCUGGGGUCUCACAUUCUCUUCCUCCUUAAGCCCUGACGUCCUCGUCAGGCUCAAACUUACAAAUACCAGGUGAUGUGAUACUCGUCUCGCUAGCCUAAACCGAUCUUGUGGUGAGCUGCGCUCCACCCACAAUAGUCAACAGUAUGAGAGCCUCGCUCUUUCCGCUGUAUAAUCCUAGCUUAGCCGAAACUCGUCUCACACUUCUGGCUGAUAAUUAACUCUGAUAUCAACUGUGACGCCCUAACCUUCCAAGGGGGUCACCCGUCUUAGGACUACUCUCGUCCUGACACGCUUAACUCUUUUAAACUCUUGGGCCUAGCCACUACCCAAAAUGCAUAAUCCGGGUUAAGAGUUUUAGCCCUAUUAUAUCUUACAUAUAGGACUAUCUGGAAUCUCACAAAGCAAUGCACUAUACAGAAUUUUUGUGCAUACAAAUAGGCCGAAAAUGUCAUUAAUAUUUCUAGCUCAUAAAUGAAUAGCUCAAAUUGAAGGAUUCAAAAUCUAAGUCAAGUGCUUAUGGAAAAGCAUACGGGAUUGAUCCCAUACUUUUGGAUACUCAAUGUAAGUUAGGGGAGAAACUACUACCAGUUACAAAAGUUAAAAAAAGCCCCCCCCCCCCUGCCGGGCCCCCACAAAAAAAAGAAGAAAACUGUGGACACGGAAAUAACCAUUUGCUUUGCCUUGUGUCAGGGGUAAUUAAAUAGGGAAGAGAAAGCUAACAGUUAAAGAGUAUAAAGCUCACAGAUAACCCAAGACGAACUAUCUGCUGUACAAGCACUGCUAUGUGAGGGGUAAAAAUGCCUAGGAUUAAAAGAUGACUGUAACUGAUUAUGAUUUAGGACCACAACCUAGUCCUUAAGGAAGCUAGAUUUGUAAAGACCCAAGAAUGAUACGGACAAAGCCAAAUAUAAUGAGAGAAUAGUUGUAAGAAAAAGGCUUGCAGAUCAUCCAAAAGUAGUAUUUUGGGUUUUUUUUUUUUCUUUUUCCCUUCCAAAAGUACCCCAUAUUUUAUUUGAAAACUAGAUAAUUUUUAUAAUUUUCACAACUUCAGGACAUAAUUUUCCUUUCUGGACUAGAGUGAUCCUCAGAGUGGGAAAAGUUUUGCAUAAAGGUUGUGUUUAUAAAGAAUUCAUUCUCAUAUAACCUCUUGGUGCAUUUUGAUCCAUAAAACGUAUUCCGGCUUAAAAUUAAUAAUCGUAAGAGUGGACUAAAGAUAAAAAACUAAAUACAAAUAGAAUUUUAGAGCAAAAUGGACAAGUAUCCUCUUGUCGAAUCCUCACCACCCAACAUUAAAUAUUUGAAGAGACGUAGAAAUAUUUGAGAUAAUUUAUGAACAACAAUAUAAAGGCCUGGCAUAGGUUAUCUCUGUAGAUGACGAGAUAUUUUAUUAUAAUGUUAGGAUGCCUAUGAAGCGACAAAAUCGUUGCAAAGAGCAAUGAGAAACUCAAUUACCAAUUUUCAUGCGUAAAUCAUGCUGUUGAUGUCAACACAGUAAGUACUUAAUAUGAUGAAGAGUUACACCAGAAUUGAGAAUUGCCGGUCUUUAAAGCCUAGUUUGGUAAUGUGGUGGCUAAAAGCACUUAUUUUAUGCUUUGAAAGGUCCAAAAAUAAUAGUUCUUUGUAUUUUUUGGGUCUUUCAAAAUACAAAAUAGGUACUUUUAGCCACCACAUUAUCAAACUAGGCCAAAAUUUCACAAAUAGCUCUCACUUUUGUAAUAAAGUUAUUCAACUUUUUUCUUAUACAUUAUAUUUUAACAAAUUACCUUCUCUCACCCUCUAAUUCUGUUUUUAACCAGGUCUUUAAGGUCAUGGUUUUGGGCACUCGUUGUGAGCUAUGAAAUUACUAAUUUUCUAGCUAAUUCCUGAUCUAACCAUCUUUAUCUCAUGUGGAUCACAUUGCAUCAACAACAAGCAACAUGCAUUAGGGAACAACCCAAGUUACUUUUGACGUUCUACAUGCUAAAUUUUGUGUAUGGUGGUAUAUCAAACGCAAAGGCAUAAUAAAGAUGAGAUAGAUUGAUGUGCUAAUAUUGUCCAUACACCAAAAAGAAAGAGUGACCAGAGAAAGUAACUUGUGGUCUAAAGAAAAGCAAAUUCCUAAUAUUCCCACAAUACUGCCAAAUACUGAUUUUAUUUUCGAACUGACAUGAAAAUGAAUGACAGUUACACUCAAUCUCAAUAUGAACUAUUUUAUUCUUCAUGCGAAGAAAGGUAAUGUAUUUCUUAACAGAAAACAAUUGACUAAUCAGUAAUGACAGUAUUAUACCUAUUUAUAAUUGAGCAAUCAGUAAUGACAGUAAUAAACCUAUUUAUAUAGCCCACCAACCUAUUGGAAACCAAUAAUUGAUCUUUUUCUCCUUAAUUUAGAUUAAGUGCGUCCUAACACAAAACAAACUAAUUGAAGCAAAACAACAGCAGAAAUUCACAAAUUUCUUAACAAAUAUGAUAGGGCUAAACCAUAUGGUAGUAUCUAUAUCUGUUUGGUGACUGUUAAUAUGCAAGUAUAUGAUGAAAAUCUUACAUUUCUAAGUAAUAACUGCAAAAAGAAGAAUAGCAUGGUACGCAUAGGAAAUAAAGCAUGCUAUUUGGUGGUCAUUAGUAGGAAAUAGCAUACCUACUGGGACUGAGAGCCUUUAUGAGCAAUAACUGGGAAGAAGGCCACCUUUCAUCAAUAACAACCCAUGCUGAAGAUGAAAAAAGAAUGACAUUUAUGAGAGUAGGAGAAAAUUUUCUGUUCAAAUUCAAGAUAUAAAGAACUUUGCAAUUUUUUGGUGGAAGUAGAUCUAAAGUAAGUUUUUACUCUUAGCCUGCUAGAGAUGCUAUCGGAUCUGGUAAGAAAUUGAAUUAAGAUCCAACCCAUUUACUACUGAUAUUUCAGUAAAUAAACAAUAUAAAUAAGCAUGAUAUAGAGGAAAAUAAACAUUUGUUUUAGAUAGUUCUAGUGAUGUACAAAAAGAAAAUAGCAUCCUAGGCCUUGUUUGGUAUUGUGUUUAUUUUUUUAUUUUUUUAACAUUAAAUUUUAGGGAAAACUUCAAAAACCCCCCCUGUGGUUUCGUGCAUUCUCACUUUGCUACCCUGUGGUUUAAAACGUAUCAAUUUACCCCCUUGUGGUUUCAUUUUUAUCUUUUCGGAAGCUUUUUCGUUAAUAUUUCGUUAAAUUAUAUACAAAAAACUUCAGAUAACCAUCUAUAUUUAUCGAAUAGUCACUUUAGUAUCCUUUAAUUUUAACUUUGUCACUGAUUUUAAAAAAAAAUAAUAAUAAAAUUGAUAACAAAAAGAUAAAAACGAAACCACAGGGGGGCAAAUUGAUACGUUUUAAACCACAGGGUAGCAAAGUGAGAAUGCACGAAACCACAGGGGGGGUUUUUGAAGUUUUCCCUAAAUUUUAUAUAUCAAAAAGCGUAGGAGUGGAUAGUGGAUUGCUUGCAAUCCUUUCAUCCAAGGUCUUUCCUUGACAACAAAAGACAAAAACUUGAAAACAACCUUUUUUUGCUUCCAAUUUUUUUUUUAAACUAAUUGUCAUUUAUCACUUAGCCGAAUGCAUUUGUAAACUAACCAACUACAACAAUAAAAGAAAAGUCUUUCCUCACACAUCAAAUAUAGAAUUAGUGUUUAAAAAGUGAAAAAACGGCAACGAUACCAAACGUGUACUGGACUUUUUGUUAACUAUAUUCUAGUGUAAUAGACUCAAAAGAAGAGAAGAAAAAGCUUAUCCAAUUGUUUUUUUUAUUAAAAGGGAAAAAAAACAUACCUAUUGGACGUAAGAGAUGCCUUUAAAAGCCUUCAAUUAGCAAUGGCUUUCCCUCAGUGAUAGCUCACUAUAACAAACUAAAUUGAAGAUUCCAAAGUAAUGGCAUAGCAUGUACGAAUAAAUUAGAGAAAAGAUUCUGUUCAAAUUGGAAAAGUAACAAUCUUUGCUAUGAUUUCAGUGAAAUAGAUGGAAAAGCAGUUCCUUUGUUAUCGCCCAUGAACCCAUGGCUAACAGUUGCAUCACACGAUCUCUGGAUGCUGUAGAUAGGCUUUUCCAUUUGGGGGGCCGUAACUUAUUAAUGCCUGGUGUAAGUGUAUCUAAAGAGCUCCCAUACCUAUAAAGUAGAAAAGGAAAAAAAAAUUAAUGUGCUUUCUCCUUUAUUUGAUGAAAGACUUUGUCCUCCUUUUACUUUUCAUGUGUUUUUCUUUGAACCCCUUCCAUCAAUACAAAUUCCAUCAUAAAAGGGGCUACUUUCCAAUAUUAACGAGGGUCUUUCAGUAACAUCUCUUGGUACCAACCAUAAAUACAGAUCAAAAUCUUUGGACGACAUGUAUGCUAAAAGCUAAGGAGUUAGAAGAAUUAAGUAAACAAACAUACACACAACGAAAAAUCCAGGGACAACCAUAUCACGUACAGAGGUUCUAUAACAUUUUUGUGCACCAAAGACUAAAGAGCAUCUAACACUACUUAGAGCAAUGAUAGGACCACCAAAUUGCAAAAUCAUAUACGUUACAGUGUUCUAGUUGACUUCAACAGAAUUGCGAAAUAAGUUCCGGCAGAAAUUAGUUCUAAAUAGACAGAAGGGAAAUUGAAGUAAUAAAAAUCUCAAAUAAAUAUUGAUUGUGCUUCUAUUGCUCAACUCACCAAUUAAAUGGGUACAUAUUUUUUAACAUGAAACUGUCAAACCUCUACACAUGAUUCUGUAGCAAUCUGUGUGACAUAGCAUGCUAUGGUUGAGUCCUUUAUAUGCCUUUCUACGCCUUUUAGUAGAGCACAAUGUUCUAACUCAGCAUCUUGCAACAGUCCAUAUAACAUCAUAAUGCCUUUAAGAUGUACACUUUUGAUCAGUCAAGAGCAACUCAAUACACUAGUGCAGUAGUAUUAUGAUCAUUGAGCUGUAUACCUUGAUCAGUCAAGAAAAGAAGAUACAGUAAUAGUACUGAAGAAAACUACAGAUGAAGCCAAUGUAGACAACCAGCCAAAAGAACAUGCGAAGAAAAAGAUUAACAAGAUAAAAAGUUUAUGCUCUUCAUACAGAAAUACAGAAGUCAUUGAUCACCUCCAAUGAUGAACAUAACAAAGAAAAAGCCAUAAACUGCUAUAAAGAAUUCCUUAAAACAAGUCAAUUCAUUAGAAUUCUCUACUUUCCUCGUCAAAAUGACUCACUUGGUAUGACUAAGUUUUGAGUGUUGGGGGACAAAUUAACAAAAAUGAUGUAUUCCUACUACACAGCCAUUAAAGUAACCGGUGUUGUGGAUAAUGAACUACGAUUUUUCUGCAAAUUCAAUCUUAAAAAUACUCAAUUAUUAUGAUAAGUUAUAGAGAAGUUUCUCUUUUCUCGUUUUUUUUAAUUUAAUAUGUUGCAAAUAGAUUUAUUGCGAAGAUAAUGAACAAACAAAUUUACGCAGACAAGGUUUAGCAUGUCAGGGAUUGGUGGGGCAUGUUACAAUGCCGACACUAUAUCAGCACAGUUGUUACAAUGAAAGUAAGAUUAAAUCAGUGGCAUAUAAUAGGUACAUAUUUCAGAUCUGCCUGGACUACAUAAUUCAUUGCGUGAUUAAACUUUGGUAAGAUUAAAACUACUGGGGUAAAAAUAGGUCUUCUCUUGAUUUAUACUAGUGAUUUGAGAAAAGUUACAAAGAGUUCAUGAAAAUUCGAUUAAAUCAGCAGAAAAUAAUGGAAAACAUCCUAAAUCUGCUUACACUACAUGAUUCGCACAUUUGCAUGAUGAAACUUUGUAAGAUUAAGAAUCUUAAGACACAUAAUAGGAUUUUACCUAUUUUGUACCAUCAACAUGAUUAGCAUUAAAGUAAGAGAAAAUCAUUUGACUAAAUUAGUCAUAGAGAAUGCAUAGAUACUUCACAGAUCAUUAUUUUACUGAUCAUAGUAACUGAUAGCAGUCACAGAUUAUUAUUUUACCUAUCAUUAUAGCUGAUAAGACAAUGCAUAAAUAAUUUCUAUGACGAAAUUGUAGGAGAAUGAUUUUCUCUUACUUCACAGAUCAUUAUUUUACUGAUCAUAGUAACUGAUAGCAGUCACAGAUUAUUAUUUUACCUAUCAUUAUAGCUGAUAAGACAAUGCAUAAAUAAUUUCUAUGACGAAAUUGUAGGAGAAUUUUUUAGUACCAAAUCUUUUCAACAUCACGAAAAUUGGUGUGCAAUUCCGUUCAACAUAACUUCACAAAAAUUGGUGUGCAAUUCCAUUUAUUGUGAAAACAUAGUGGUGUGAAUAUACAUUUUGAAGAAAAUAGGAAUAGAUUCUAAAAAAAAUGUCAUUUAUAAUAACUAUCACUGAAUUAUAUGUAUUAUGAGAUAUUCUUGCAUUCUUUUCAAUCUAAUCACAUAGGUCUUUACAUAUUACAUGCUUUGUCAGUAGACUCAGUGCUAACAUCAUAAUAGAAGAGCAUGUCCCAAUGAAGAUAUGAUGAGACCUGAGCAAAUCCUGCCCCGCCCACCAACUUGGCCCACAAUGUGAUCUAUUGUAGAUCACGUCAGGCUCAGCAUGGUUCGUCUAGCCGGUCAACCUCAAAUGUUGAGGCCCAAGAAAAUGCGAGGCUGGCCCAAGUUUAUCAUUUCUUUGGUUAACCCAGCUUGUCCUGAGGUUUUACUACUCGAACGACCUGGCCCGCUCAUUUUGGAUCGAACAGAGGCAUACAAAUUUAUAAAAUUUCCAAUCUGGGUUUUCAGCCCAGAUAUGAUGAUAUAUAUGCCUAAACUUCUAACAAAGACUUUGCCUUCUCUGCAAUCCACCACUAUUUAAUUAAAUUCUCAGCUGUAUUGUUGUUAGUAGUAAAAUCCUCUUCAUUAAUGACAUGGUGAGAAAUUAGAUUUAUGCAAACCAUUAGUAGAAGCUGGUUUGUCGGUGCUUGCUGAAUCUCCCACGCAAGCAAGUUUCUUCAUUAUUCAUUUCUGCUUAUAACAAUUUCAUAAGAAUCAGUGGGUUUAACUUAAGACAAUCGUAUACACUUACAUACCAGUAACUACCUACACAUGCACAUGCAUGUACUUAAUCUUUGUGACGUCAUAAGAAUCAGUGGGUUUAACUUAAGACAAUUGUAUACACUUACAUACCAAUAAAUACCUACACAUGCACAUGCAUGUACUUAAUCUUUGUGAUGUCUUCAAACUUGUAGUGCACCCUUUACAAGGAGUUUAUAAAGCUAGAAUGAUUGUACAUAAAUACCAAAUAUACAAAAUAAAAUGUGUUGUAGAUUUUAGCAAGCAGCAAAUAUAUGUGUACCAAAAAAACUGUUAAACUGAUGGAUGCUGAUAUAUGCGAUUCAAUACCUCAAUGACGGAAAGAGCAAAGGGAUCUCCAUUCUUCAAGUCCAUCUUGCAAAUAUCAGCUCAUACAUGAAGACCACUCGAAAGAAAAAGCAUAGCAUCAGCAUCGCGGAUUACUUUAUUGCCUUGUACUGUCAGUUACCUGGUUUAAGGUUCCAAGUACAGGAAAAGCCAUAGCAUCAGCAUGGUGGGUUACUUUAUUGCCUUGUUUACUGUCAGUUAGCUGAUGAAUUACUUAACUGACUUGCUUACUUUACUCUCAGUUACGUGGUUUCAGGUUCCAAGUAUGGGAAAAGUCACAGCAGCAUGGCGGAUUACUUUAUUGCCUUGUAUACUGUCAGUUAGCUGAUGGAUUACUUUACUGCCUUGCUUACUUUACUCUCAGUUACAUGGUCUAAGGUUCCAAGUACGGGAAAAGGCAUAGCAGCAUGGCGGAUUGCUUUAUUGCCUUGUUUACUGUCAGUUACAAAACAAACAAGUAAUGUGUGCUACAACAAUUUUUAUUUGAUCAGUUUGAACUUGGAGUAAUCAACAGUAGUAAAUUGUUGGUUUAAUCUAACAUAGGAUCUUCCUUCCAACUAUUUUAAUUGCUUUUCAACACCAUAGCAACAUCUUUUUUCCACGAGGACUGCAUUCUUUUUUCAAAAUAAAAGAAAGAAUCAUAAACAGUACAGAUGAUGCAAGAACGCUUCUACCAACAAGCUUAGGUUGCCAAACAACUAUGAAAAACUAUAUAUCCUGUUAAAUCUAAUAAAGAAUGUAGAUAGUUCACUGGCAACGAAAGAUUGCAGAAAGUAAAAAGAUGCCAUUUCUUAUGUAAGCAGUGUUCAAAUUAGGCAUUUAGAACUUAGAAGCAUGAAGGAAAGCCUUUGAGUUGAUCUGUUCCUAGAAAGACUGGGACAACGCAUCUGAAGCACACAAAUGAGGUGGAUUCAACGCGUCAUUAGUUAUGAUGUCAACAGAGUAGAAGUGAGAAACUUCGUGCCACAACCAACUGAUAAACAUUAAAUUGUAGCAAGUCACAAAAGCAACAAAUGGCACCAUCAACUUACAGAAUGGCAUCUAAUGAUGCUUCCGAUGCCAUCUAUAUCUGGGCCAUCAUACGUCCUGCUCAUUCACAUAUAUCUCUUCAACAUCAACACCAUCAAAUAGUCCCUACAGAAUUGACAACUUAGAGGUUACCACAAAGAAUCCAUGCAUAAUAGAGUUCAUGUGAAAGUACUAACGCGUACACCUCAUUUUCUUUAACGCUGGAUCUUCAUCCAAUGUUAUUAUGCAUUGUCAUACACUACUUGUCUGGGUUAGAAUUCAUGUGGCUGCCACUCCAAUAAUCAGAAAGCAUUGCAUAUGUGAAAUAUGAAACUGCAGCAUUUGAAGAGCAUUAUUUUUAUCCAGAUUCUGUACUUCCAAAUAAGUUUUACCCCUCAAGAUGCUCCAACAUGUUUCUCAUUACCUGUCCAUGCAGGGCACAUGACUUUAUUAAGGCCACACAUAUCUUUUCAAUGCCAUAAUCACAAAAUAAAGAAGGUAAUACCUACAAGUAAACAAAAGUAACAAAACUGGAAAAAUCUUACAUAACGAAAUUCCUCAUGAUAGCAGUAUUGAGGUUCAAGGAGGCGGCUUUCAUAUGUAGUGGAUUGUGAAGUUUAUUGUCUCAUUUUUAUGAAUGUAGUAACAGCAUGUCAAAACAUCUAUGAGGCUUUUAUUUUUUUACCAAAAUUUAUGUUUGAUGAAUUUGCACUUAAGUCAUUUCUGCUGCAUCAUUAAGGUCCCUUAAAUUGCUAUUUAUGGAUAGACAUAUCGCAACCCCAAAGAAGAUUCGACAGGACUAUAACUAGCAGAUAAAUAAUGUAGUAACAUUUUUCCUAAUUGACAAACAAAAGCACCACUUUAUGUUCAGAGACGGAGAGAGAGAGAGAGAGAGAGAGAGAGAGAGAGAGAAACUGUGAGAAUGUAACACAUUCAACCUGAAUAAAUCAUGUGCAAACUAAUUUCUCUAGUUCAUCCAGUUCCUCGGCCUUUAGGUUUUGUUCACCUCACACCGCUUUGAGUCCAAUUUUUUCAAAUGUUCUGGAGAUCAGAAAAAUAUACUAGCAGUAAAUUUCUCAAGGUAUAUCACUUCUGAUCUAAUUUCAGCUCCUUCUGCUUCAUAAAUCAUAAUCCAUCCGAGUUCCGCACCUGCCAAGUGUGCUCCAAUUUCAGCUACAAUUCUGAAGUGAAUGAGAAAUACCCAACUUCAAUAUUCAAUUGUGCCAUAGUAACCAAGACACAAGAAAUUCCAAAGGAGCUCUUACCUUGAUACUUCUACAUUUUUUUUUUUCAUGCUAUAUUUUCUGAGUUAGGACUGUAUAAGUUCUACUUGAUCAAAAUAAAUAGAACAGAGAAAGAAGGCAGCAAAAAAACUCUUUUUUGCAGCCAAAAAAGCAGGAUUUUAUCAGGUUUUUUCCCAUUGAUAAGCUACAUCUUAGUAUCUAGACUAGCUAGAGCAUUUGAGUGAAGAUUAGACACAUUUAAAAGUGGUAGUGAUCGGCCUGCCUUCACUCUUUUUCCUCUGCAGCAUGCAUGCAGAGAGAGAGAGAGAGUACAACUACAACCUAAAAUAGUUACCGGAUCUUUGUAGCUCCUGUUUCCUUUUGUUUUUUAUGGGCUCUACAUUUCGUUAGGAUAGCAAAGCAAAGUUAGGUAAGAGAUGUAGGCUAGGUUAAUGGAGAACAUGGAGAAAGCCGCGUUCACCGCAUGAUUUCCAGUUAUUUUGUUUAUCAGGAGUGAGAAAACCACUGUUACAGCCUUACCUGAACUGGCCACGCAUCCACUUUAAUGACAAACAACCCAGGACAAAUGGAAGAACCGAGAAAUAAUUCUAUAAAUCAAAUAUGAUGGCAGCUCUCACCUGAGAUGGAGUGGGAGGAGGAAAGACGAUGAUGUAAGGGGCGCGCAAUACCCUCGAUCUCGAAAAAUAUCCAUGAAAAGAUAACACAGGGAAACAUCAGAAAUAAAUAGAAGCAAAAAAUCAUGUAAACUAAAAGAAAAGAAAACUAAUCUGUGCACCUAUUGGUCCUAUGUUGUGGAAAGAUGGCCAUCCCAUGCCAUAUGAUGUUUUACCGAAAGAAACCUAAGAAGAGAUCAAGAGCCCAAAACAAACAAGGGAUGGGCAUUGCUCUCGCCCGGUAUGGUGUUCCAGGAAAGAUGGAGUAGGUGACAAAUCACGUCCCUUGGAGUCCCACAUAUUUCAUUAACGGAACAAACAUUGGAAACUAGUAAAUAGAGAUCAAAAUCGUGUUAACUAAAAGCAGAAGAAAACUACUCUGUGAAACUAUGGAUAUGGAUGCAGAUAACAAUCUGAAUCAUAUAUGAUGAUCAACCGGAAAAAAGAAAAAACACCUAAAAACAGAGCAAGAAUUAAUGUAAUCAACAGCGAUAGCUCUCACCUGAGAGCGCGUGCCAAGAAGAAGAAGGAGUAGCCUAUUAUAUCUUGAUCUCCCCAAAAUUUCAUGAAGAGAUCAAACAGAGAAAACAUUAACAAUGAAUAAAGACCAAAUCGUGUAAAAUAAAAGAAAAUUAAAACUAAUCAACGAACAUAUGAAUUCCAUUGUAAUGAAAAGAUAAUCAUCUCACACGACGAUCCACCAAAAAAAGAAAAGAAAAAGAAAAAAAAAAAAAACCCAAAAAUGAUCAAGAACUAACGUAAUCAACAACGAAUGCACUGACCUGAGAUGGCGUGCCUGGAAAGGAGUAGGCGAUGUAUCACAUUUCUCGAUAUCCCAUGGAUUUCAUGAAAAGAUCAAACAGAAAACACAUUAACAACAAAUAGAGAAUAAAAUCAUGUUAAAUAUAAGAAAAAAUAAACCUAAUCUGCGAAAAAGAGAACGAUCUGAACCGAUGUGACGAUAUACCCAAAAAGAAAACAUAAUUAAGCGGAUCAAGAAUCCAGGGAAGAUCAAAGGCAAGUGAUCGAUACCCUAAUGUAAUCGAAACUAACAUUUUCUACAAGCAAAUGUAACGAUUGCUCUCACCUGAGAAGAGUUCUUAGAGAACGACGCCCUCUCGAACGCCUUCUCCCUUCUUCUUCUUCUUCUUCUUCUUCUUCUUCUUCUUCUUCUCUCUCUCUCUCUCUCUCUCUCUCUCUCUGUGUCUUGGGGCGAAGAAGCGCUCUCACACUCCCCCUUCGUCUCCUUUCCUCUCUCUCUCCUCCCAUUUCGUCGAGCGAGUAAAAUCUCUCGCCCCGCCGUGUUUAUAUAGUAAGCGAUACGACCGUUGAAGCUUGAGAACACGUGACAGCGCACGUGACGCGGCAUUCCCAGAAUAAACUAGGAUCACGAUUGCAGAAUAAUAUAUUUUAAAACAUGGUAAUAUUUUACGAAGAAUUCUCGGCCAUAGGCAGUUUCCAAUCUGAAAAUGCUACCCGAACACUAUAUAUAGGGGCAUAUAUUUUACACCUUUUAAUUCAAAAAUUAAAAUUUUUAACAUUUUAGUAAAGAAAUUGAUAACAUAAGUAAACUAAUGUGAACUACAAGAAAAGUAGGAUAAGCAGUUAUUAUAAAUUUUACACGUAAGCAGUUUUUAUGAAUUAAAGAAAAAAAAAAACCAAAUAGCAAAAUUCAUUGUUCCAUAGCUAAAUAAGUGAUCUUAAUAGUUAAAUUCAAUGGUGUUGCCAAAAAAAUAUUUACUAAAAAUCCUAAUUUGAUUGAUAAAUGACUUAAAUUAAAAGAAUAAAAAGAAUAUUAGCUUUUGUAUAGUAUAAAUUUUUAUUCUAUUUUUUAGCGAACCUCUAACUAAAUCUCAAAUUAGUGACAUAUUUGGUUCAUUGAUAAUUUUAGUUCUUACCGCACCAAAAUGAAAUAAAUUAUCCUGAAAACUAUAAAGUAUGAUUCAUCAAAAAGGAGAUCUCUUUGUCUGGUUUAGAACUAUUGAUAAGUUACUGUUAUUUAGGUUGAAGUUCAUAGGCAAAAUUGCAUAAUACCAACUCAUAUUAGUAAUACUAGUGUUAAUUGAGUCAAGAGCAAAUUACAGAUUUUUUUUUUUAAAAAAAAAAGGGAUAAUUGAGAUGAAUGAAUAAAGUGCGAGGAAAGGUUUUGUAAUGUAGCAGCAAAUUAAGCUCAGGUAUUUUUGUAGUAGAGUAUGGCUGGGAAACUGAUUGCAAUCAAUUGGUUGAGAAGCAGAACCUUCGAACUGGCAUGGACACUACGAAAUCUUAUUAUGAGCAUUCACCAUGAAUUAGAGGACAAAAAUAAAAUUACAUUAUUUUAAAUUUCUAUUUUUGCAUGUUUUUUAAAAACAAUCGACACAACUCUUGGACAAGGAUGUUUAUGCUACUUAUGAAAACCUCGGAGGUUUCGUUUUUGCAAGUUAUUUCGGCCUCUGACCAUUUUUUAAUUAAUGAAAAUUUUUAAUUUUUUUAAAAAAGAAAAGCCAACAGAAAAGGGAAAACAUUUGAUGAUGGGCCGUGACGAGCCCGGAGUGGCAACGGGCCGAGCCCAUCAAGCGUCAGGCCGGGUUAACUUUAAUUAAAUAUUUUCUCUUUUUUUUUAAAAAAAAUAUAACUCGGGGAAGAAUAAAGAGGUCUAAGCCUCUCUCUCUCUCUCUCUUUCUCAACUCUCUUAUCCCUGGCGAGUUGAAGCGAAUUUAAUGGCUCUGUUACUGUUAUACUAUGGUCUCCCGACUUUGAAGAUCCCCAACGGAGCUUCAAAAACACUAGUGAGAUCGUCGUCGUCUUCGUCGUCGUCGUCGUCGUCAACGGGAAGCCCAAACCCUAAUUCUCGUGCUCCUCCUCCGCGCCUCUCAGGGGAAGGAGCAUCGGCGCCGAAAAGAUGCUUAAGAUGCGGCACACUCUACUGGGAUAAGGACAACUCCCCCACGGCUUGCUCCUUCCACGGCCACACAACAGGUUCUAGUAGAGCUCUUCCGUGGAGAUCCCAUGUAUUUCACUCUAUAUUAGUAAUACAGUAAUAAGCUAGCUUAUGAGCUAAUGAUAAAACAGAACAAAAUAAAAAUAGAUGAAGAAAAAGGAAUCAAAUACUUCUGGAAUGGGCACAGCAACUGGGAUUGAGCUCAACAAUUGAGUUUUGUUUGGGCCUAACACUAUCAUGUUUUCAGAGUAUUGUUUAGAGCAGGAAACGUAACUCAUCGAAUUCAUCCGUUAAUCUCCUUUAACUAAACAACAGAGCUGAAUCAAGUUCUUAUCGAGGCAGAACAUCUCUGCGACCAGUUGCUUAGUAUUUUUUAGUGAAUUUGCGCAGGGGAGAGAGGGCUGUUCUCGCUGGCGCCGCCGCACCAAGGGAUCGACGGCGAGUGGAGCGACAGGAGCGGGAUUAUUGUAUACCGGUGGAACGAGAAAGGGAGCAGGCCCAACACGGGGAGUGCGAACUGGAAGAAGAGAUGGAGCUGCUGCGCCGAAUACGACGAGAACGCUCCACCGUGCCGGCGAGGACGGCACGUCUCCUACGACGACGGAUUCACGCUCUACUAGUGCAACUCAGCUGCUAGCGAAAUUCAGGAUCCUAGGAAUACUCUCUAAACUUUUAUAGCUUUUAAUGCUUACACUACGAACAUUAAUUGACACGGUAAACUUGAAUUUUCCGUUGUGCUCUCAACGUACAAAUAUACAAUCUCCUCUCACCCAUCAUCAUUUUGAUGUUACGAUCUCAACGUCUCAUAUGCACACACGACACCGCAAUCAGAUCAGGAAAAUCGAAGGUAAAGCUAAUCAAGACGAUGAGGAGGAGGAAGAGGCGGGGGUGUCGGCGGCGACGGUGCGGAAAGAGUGAUGGAGGCGGCGGAGGGUGUCCUGGUCGCGGGUCCACUCGGGGUUGGGCGCGGUGACGAAGUGGGCGUAGAGCUUGUUGCGGGCGCAGGUGACGGAGAUCAAGCUGUGCGCGGCGGCGCCCUCGAUCUCGUAGUCGUAGUAGAGUUGGCCGCCGUCGUCCCUGCGCUCGCGGGAUCGGACGGCGUCGGCGGCGGCGAUCUGGUCCUGGAGGGCGACGUCGGAGAGGGCGAGGUUGUUGAGGACGUCGUCGACGGGGGCGAGGGCGCGGAGGCCAGAGAGGAACGUGAGGUACUCGCGCUCGGAGCGCUUCUUGGGGUUGAAGAACUCGCUGUCGGUGCCGUUGGUGCCCUUCUCGACCUUGGAGACGAGCCGCUCCUUCCACCCCGCGGGGACCUCGUACGUGUACUCCGCCGAGUCCUUCUUGCUCGCGUUCCCGCCGUACCCGCCGUAGUUGGCGGCGCUCGCGGCGGUGCCGUAGUAGAUCUGGAAGGACGAGGAGGGAUCGCCGGCGGCGGCGAGGGAGGAGGAGAGGGGUUUGGUGUUGGUGGUGGGGGUGAGGGGGAGAGAGGAGCGGGGUUUGGGGAUGGGGUGGGCGGAGGUGUUGGAAGGGGUGGAGAGGAGGGCGGAGGGGAAGGAGAGAGUCGCCAUUGCUGGGGAUUAGGCUUGUGAUGAAGGAGAAAGGCGAGAGAUUGGAUUGGAGGUGAUGAGCUUAACUGUUAUCCACAAAACGAAGAGGUCGGGGGUUUCGGAGAACCAGGCGAUCGAGAUUUUGACGUGAUAAGUGCCGCUUCUUAUAUAUCCAAAACAGUAAUGCUAGUCCUACAAUCAAAUUUUAGUUUAAUCAUACUAUUCUCUACAAAUCCGCCUUUGUUUGGUGAAAUGUUCUAAAAUUUUUUAUAAAUUUUUGGCAAACUUAAUCGAGGAGUAUAAGAUUUUUUAUUAUUAUUAUUUUAUUUUCUGAGAGAGAAAAUUGCACCUAAAAUUUUUAAAUAAAUGUACAAAUAGUAUUGUUUUUUUUUUAAUAAUAAAAAAAAAAACUCUUGCUUAGUGGAUAUGAAUGUUGGACCAUUCAACGUGGUGGAAAUUUCAAAAGAACGUAUGUUACCUGGGCUUGAGUUUGGGCCUUUAGAACAGCUUGUGUGGUGUGGGCUUCAACUAAUACUGGCGGUCCACAACUGUGAAAAUUACACGGGCCACAAAAACUUCGGAUUCAACUCUUCAAUGACCCACGCUGGGACCAGGCCAACCUAACUAAAUAAAUUGUACAAUUCAACCCACUUUAUUAGUUUCAUAGCAAUUCGGGAGAGGCCAGGAGUUGAACAAUUGUAGGAAUCCGAAUCAUUGUUCGUUGCCGACGCUCCAUUAUAAGAUAGCUGUUGGAUUCAGGCGCCUAAUUUGAUGGUGAUCCGAUCCCCUCCUGCGUAAGAUUCGGUCAAAACACAUCCACUCACAAAAACCAGAGGAUCUUCUACAAACGUAUAUUACCAUACAACUUACUUAAAACCAAUGUAUUGGCGCCACGUGCCCCGGCUGUAACAUUUCAUGCAUCCCAGAACUCAACUCCUCCAUAGAAAGUCCAUAAUUUUAGGAUGGCCACAAAACAGAAACCGUUAAACAGUAACGGACCCAGCCAACUAUCAGCUCUAUAAAACCCUCCUUGAUCACCCCUUCCUCCCUCAGGCAAGCGAAAUAAGGAGAAGCACACCCAAAUAGAAUAAANUCCUUCUUGCUCGCGUUCCCGCCGUACCCGCCGUAGUUGGCGGCGCUCGCGGCGGUGCCGUAGUAGAUCUGGAAGGACGAGGAGGGAUCGCCGGCGGCGGCGAGGGAGGAGGAGGAGGAGGAGGGGGAGGAGAGGAGGAGGACGGAGGCGGCGAGGGCGGAGGCGAGGGAGGAGGAGAGGGGUUUGGUGAGGGCGGAGGGGAAGGAGAGAGUCGCCAUUGCUGGGGAUUAGGCUUGUGAUGAAGGAGAAAGGAGAGAGAUUGGAUUGGAGGUGAUGAGCUUAACUGUUAUCCACAAAACGAAGAGGUGGGGGGUUUCGGAGAACCAGGCGAUCGAGAUUUUGACGUGAUAAGUGCCGCUUCUUAUAUAUCCAAAACAGUAAUGCUAGUCCUACAAUCAAAUUUUAGUUUAAUCAUACUAUUCUCUACAAAUCCGCCUUUGUUUGGUGAAAUGUUCUAAAAUUUUUUAAAAAUUUUUGGCAAACUUAAUCGAGGAGUAUAAGAUUUUUUAUUAUUAUUAUUUUAUUUUCUGAGAGAGAAAAUUGCACCUAAAAUUUUUAAAUGUACAAAUAGUAUUGUUUUUUUUUUAAUAAUAAAAAAAAAACUCUUGCUUAGUGGAUAUGAAUGUUGGACCAUUCAACGUGGUGGAAAUUUCAAAAGAAGGCAUGUUACCUGGGCUUGAGUUUGGGCUUUUAGAACAGCUUGUGUGGUGUGGGCUUCAACUAAUACUGGCGGUCCACAACUGUAAAAAUUACACGGGCCACAAAAACUUCGGAUUCAAAUCUUCAAUGGCCCACGCUGGGACCAGGCCAACCUAACUAAAUAAAUUGUACAAUUCAACCCACUUUAUUAGUUUCAUAGCAAUUCGGGAGAGGCCGGGAGUUGAACAAUUGUAGGAAUCCGAAUCAUUGUUCGUUGCCGACGCUCCAUUAUAAGAUAGCUGUUGGAUUCAGGCGCCUAAUUUGAUGGUGAUCCGAUCCCCUCCUGCGUAAGAUUCGGUCAAAACACAUUCACUCACAAAAACCAGAGGAUCUUCUACAAACGUAUAUUACUAUAUAACUUACUUAAAACCAAUGUAUUGGCGCCACGUGCCCCGGCUGUAACAUUUCAUGCAUCCCAGAACUCAACUCCUCCAUAGAAAGUCCAUAAUUUUAGGAUGGCCACAAAACAGAAACCGUUAAACAGUAACGGACCCAGCCAACUAUCAGCUCUAUAAAACCCUCCUUGAUCACCCCUUCCUCCCUCAGGCAAGCAAAAUAAGGAGAAGCACACCCAAAUAGAAUAAAAGACUCCUUUUCUCAUCUCCCGUCGAAGGAAAAGAGAAAAAUCUCGAAAAAUCUCUUAUCACCGGCAAUGGAGAUGAGGAAGUUUGCCUCUGCCGUCCUCGUGGCCGCCGCCUCGGCCACCGUGGCCUUUGCAGCCGAUGCCCCGGCUCCUGCCCCCGCCAGUGCAUCCUUUGCGGUCACCCCUGCUAUCGGUGCUGCGGUCGGAGCUUCAGUUCUCGCCUUCUUUGCUUAUUACCUCCAGUAAACGUUACUGGGAAAAAACAAAAAAAAAAAAAAAAGAAAGAAAGAAAAAGGAAGACAAAAUGUAUGUUGAGAAACUUUCAUUCUCUUUUUUCUUCUUUCUUUCUAUUCUCGUUUGAUUUGAUUCCUACCUCAAGUGCUUUUAUCUUCAAUUUACAAAGACCUGAGUAGGAUGAGAUAUAUUUGGGUGUAAUUUUGCGAUAGACAUGAAUAAAAGACCAUCGAGAUUUUAUUGAUCUUGCUUUGCUUUUCAAUGAACCAGAUCGCGUCUAACUUAUUUCCAAAGCUCAGUAAGUGGACUAUCAUUUUCAUGCCAACUUCUUCCAUGCUUUUCCAGUUCGAAGUUCAUUUUUAGAUCAUAAACUUGAUUAGGCCUAUGCUUUGUAUGAGUUGUUCUGAAUGGUGACUUGACUUAUUUGUUCUUCCAGUGUUACACAACAAACUCUAAUAUCUCUCUUUCUCGCACUCUAACCUGACCCAUUAUUAGUCACUAAUAAUUAGAAUUUGGUCAAACUAGCUAGCUAGUUAAUUUUGGGGCCCAUAUAUAUAUUGGAUAAUCAGAAGAAACAAAGAUAAAUAAUUAUUGUCUUUGCAUGCUCGGCCAUGCAUAAAAAUGAUAAAAAAAAAUAAUAAUUUGAAUUACGAAUAUUUCUGAUGAUUUCUGAUGUCGUGCACGAUAGAGGUGAGAAAUAUUUGAAUUAUUGCGCAAGAUGAUAAAAUUGUGGAGUUAAAGUUAUAUUCAUAUUGAAAAUUCAAACAAAUUUAAAAAACUAAAAUAUGUAAUAAAAGUACAGGAGCCACUGAGCCAGCUUGUAGUAUAGAAAUGGAAAUAGUACUUUGAAUAUCCAUUUGCGUUUGGUAAAAAGUGAUGGCGGAAAACUAAUACCAGCGGCGACUCUGCUCAGUCUCCGAAUGUCGCAAUAAGCUCGCGCGGUAUUAAUUUAGUCUCCGAUCUGCUGUUGCGGAGGCCGUUCAUCAGCAACAAUGGCCUCCUUCCUCUCUCUCAGAUUAAACCCGAGCAAGCUGUUCUCGCUAAACUCCCCAAACCCUAACCCUAAUAUCUUCUCCGCCGCGCUCUUCCGAACCGCCGCUAACCUCAACUCUCUCGCCAUUCCGAAACCCUCACACCCCAUCUCCCUCCCGUCCGCGUCAGAUCCCACUGCCCUCUCUAAAUUUCUACUACUAUACAAACCCACAAACCCUAAUCCUCUAAAACUCAGAUCCCCUUCCUUUCUCCCCUUCCGAUCCCAUUUCCUCUACAGGAACCAUUCCUCGACCCCGCCGGAGAGCGGCAGCGCCCCCGGAGACGAGACUCCCGCGAGCGGGAGCGGCGGCGGCGAGCUCCGGCACCAGGAGAUCGUGGGCCCCACGGUGGAGCGCGACGUGUCGGCGCUGGCGAACGAGACGCGCCAGGUGCUCGACGCUAUGCGCAAGUCGGUGUACGACCUCAGCUCGGCCCUCGCCGUGCUCGGCCUCGCCCACCUCGGCCUCGGCGCGUGGAUCGCCUACUCGGCGGGGCGCACCGACGACGCGGUCGCCAUACAGGGGCUCGCCGCGUUCGGGUUCCCGUUCUCCUUGGCGUUCUUAAUGCGGCGGACGCUGAAGCCGAUGAUGUUCUUCAGGAAGAUGGAGGAGCAGGGGCGGUUGCAGAUCCUGACCCUCGCGCUCCAGGUCUCGAAGAAUCUGAACCUCUUGUUCCUGAGGACACGUGUCAUUGCGCUGUGCUGCGCCGUUGGAAUUGCGGCGGGGUCUCUGGCCGCGCUGUGGCGGCGGCAAGAUGGGCUCGCCUCAGAAUCUUGAUUAGGUAAAUUUUUUUGCCUUUCCCCCCCUUGUUUUCUAAUAAUGAAUGGUGACAUAGAUGCUUAUAAAGAUGAUGGCUCGUUUGGUAUAUAAAGAAGAUAUGUUAAUCUCAGAGCACUUUGGCUCGGAUUCACGUGUCAAAUUGAUACUUUUGAUAUAUCGUGUAUGUUCCGAAACUUGUGGCAACCACGAAGAAUUUACUUCUGGUAAUUUUGUUUAUUUAAACUGCAUUCAGAUUUGCUGCUAUCCAAAGAACAUCUCUGGUAAGAGAUCUAAAUUUGUUAAGCAUACUUUGUUAAGAUGUAGUAUUCAGCGUUGAUUAACUAGUUCCUUCAUCAACCAUCUUUAUUAGUUAGUAGUUGAUCACAUGGGCGGCCUCACAAAGAUGACGUCGACGAUCAGUUAGUAUUCAGGUCAUUUUGCUGUUCUGCUAAUCACGUGAAACAUUUCUUAGUAGAAGAGAAUGUGUAUAGACGAGGAGUUACUCUGUUAAGUUCUAUCUUUUUGGCUGGAGUUUAUACAUAUUUGGAUUGCUCUCUGAAGAAUUUUUCUUGUUGCAUAUAUGAUUUUAUGAUCAAAAGUACAUUACCAUGAAGGACACACAUGCACACGCGCACACGAAUGCAAUGGAUUAAGACAAAAAGCAUCCUUUGCAUUUGUUUAUUUGAUUUUUAACCCUUAGCACAACUCCAGCAAUCAUGGAAACAUUGUAUUGGUUCUUCUCAUGUUUCGUAUCUUAGCAGAUUUGUCAGCGUCUGCAAAUCUGGGUGCCGACAUGAGACUCUUUGUCAACCAGAUUGCUGUUUCUCUAGAUGAUACAGCUUCUUCACCAAAUGGCUUUAAAACACCAGCAAGUUCCUCGAGCCUCUCUUGUUCUAGCAGCUUUGCACAGAGUUCGAGGAGAGAUUCCAAAGCAUCAGCUCUUUGUUGCACAAUGUUCAAACUAUCCCACUCAACCUGCGUGGUAUCUCCGUGCGCUAGUGUUAACGUGCUCAUUGAUGAAGCUUCUUCUACGACCUUUCCCACUUCAUCAAUGUCAGUUUUUGUUCUUUGGGGGGUAGGUUUACUAACAGUCAUUGUUGGGUCAGCUUCCUUUUCACUCUUCACUGAUUGCUCACUUGUUUCGGCCAUGUUGUCUUCUUGAAUUCCAAUUGUGUCAAUCGGAACCACCUUUACUGAAAGAGUGCUACUUAGAGCUUUCUUUACUUCUCCAGUACUUUUAUCACUCAGUAACUUAUCUCUUGGUUGGAGGUGCUGCUCUGUAUGAUCUUGUUCAUUGUUCGAGUGGUCAACGGCGUAUAUAUCUGGAAUUUCAUCGGUAGAAGCAUCUGAUUGAGUCAUCGUAGCCCGUUCUUUUGCUUCUUCUGAACUUUGCGACUGCUUUUUGGAGUCUCCUCCUCUCUUACCAUUUCUUGUGUUUUUGGGAGCUUUACUUCGUUGCUUCUUUUCCUGUUUCUCUUGUGACGUAUUGCUUGUAGACUUUAUCGGAAGGUAGAAUGAAGAGGGACUGCAUAAUUCCGAAAGAUAUGGUUGCAGAUAGGGUUGCCUCAAUAGUUCUGCAGCCUAGAACAUAGGAAACUAUCAAAUCACUGAAGUGUGGUGGAAUUUAAUUUACUUACGCACAUUAAAGUUUUGGAGACUUACAGUGGGCCUGUGCUCUGGAUUCUUUCUUAGCAUGCAUUUGAUCAAUUGCUUCCUGUAAUACACAAGCAGCUCAUCUUUAAUAAGCUGUAUUGAUACAUGAUUGAAAGCAUCAAAACCUAAUAUUUUCGAUGAAGCAUCGUAAGUAAAUUGUUGUGAAAAAUGAGUUUGAUCUAUUUGCGUCAGGAUAUUUACAAUUCUGGUGAGUAUGUGGUGGGCAUGGGGGAAAUGGAAGAUCUGUUUAUUUUGUUAACCAGUCCUGUUAUGUCCUGUUUGCAGACAUUUAUAUCAAUAAGUCAGAAAUUGAAUCGAUUCAAUAGUUUGUAAUGUUAUUGCCUUAGGUCAAAGGAAAUGCGAGACAGAGGAAACUCAUAUUCACUCACCGAAGCUCGGAACGCAGGGCGAUGCGCCAUAAUCUCAAACAUACAGCAACCUGAAAUGUUAGGAAAGAGACAUAAGAAGCGAAUUUUGAUAGUUUCCCGUAGAAAAGUAGAUGGCUGUAUUCGACUAUAUUAAGACAAAUCUCACCCAGGGACCAGAUAUCGGAUUUGUAGCCAUAAGGUAUGUCAGCUAGUAUCUCAGGGCACAUAUAGUUGGGAGUUCCUACAACCUACAAAAUUAUGUCAAGAAUUGUUGAAUAAUGCAGUACAGUUAAACAGAUACUCAUACUGCAGGUUAUCUCGCAAAACUUUUGUUUCCGUAAAUACCAUAAGAUAUAAGGGACACUGCUUGUUCACCCAAAAAUUAUGGUAUCUGGCUACGACCUUUUCUAGGAUUAUAUACUUUCACCUACUUACAGAACUUGUAGUAUGGAGGAAAUUAACAGGCCGUACCGAAGAAGUAAGGUCUUCUGCGUUGAGCAAUUUUGCGAGCCCAAAGUCUCCUGUGUUACAGCAAUGAAAGCGGUUUGGUAUUUUCAUGAUUUUGUCAUUACAAAUUAUAUGUUUAGGUGCAAAUUGUAGGAUGAAGCGUAUCUCACCAAGCCGAAUAUUGCCGUCCUUUGUUAAGAAUAUGUUAGAGCACUGCAAUGAAAUAUAAAAGAAGUCAAUCGUAACGUAACGCAUCGCAUCGGUAAAAUGUCAAGAAGUUGUUAAGUUGUUUUUGUGCGGUAAGCAUUCGGCCGUGCACGUGUGAAUUGUUGCUAAUAACCGGUCGUACCUUGAGAUCGCGAUGCAGAACUCGGUUGGAAUGCAGGUAAUCGACGGCCAAAAGUAGCUGUGCCAGCCAUCUGCAGACCCUCUAUUAAGACAGUAAGAAGAAGCAGAGAUGAUGUUUUUUUACAGUGAGAAAUAUAUAGAUCACAGUGACGUACAGGAGCCUGAGAAGCAAUAGAAUGGUCUUAGGUUUUAACCUUACCUCUUCAGAGAAGGGUACUCCUCUCGCCUUCUUUAUCUUCUCUGCACUGUGGGACCAAAUACUAGAAUUAGAAGAAUAUUAUAUGUAGAAUAGAAGGAAGGUUUGAUUUUUCCCAGCGACAUACAUGUCACCCCCGUCGCAAAAGCUUGUGACUAUACACACCGAAUUGCCCUGCACGGAGAAACCCAUAUAUUAACCCGAAAACUACUUUACUAAUUCAAACAUUAAAAUAAGCCAAGUUGUUUCCUAUCUCUUUAAUUACCUCCUCCACCCAGCCGUCCUUGUACUCCACAAUGUAGGGGUUGAUUAGACUCGCCAUCAGAGCCAUCUGUGUGCCAUCGGCCCAAAAUUUGACGGUUACGAUUCUUCUAAAAAUUAGAACAGCGGAUCGUAGAGAGAGUAAGGACUAGCACUACCUCCUGAUACGCUGUGCGUUGGAACUUCUCCGUCUGCUUCGUUAAUCGUAUCCUCUUCAACACAUACCUAAUAAGAGAAGAGAAGAUGAUCAAAAUCGACAAAUCAGAAACGGUUCAAAGGGGAAAGCACGACGAGAGAGAUGGACGGCUUGCUCACCUCUUGCGGUCGGCCUUGUGGAGCACGAGAAACGCGGCUCCGAAGGAUCCUCUCCCGAUCUGCUCCAGCACCUCGUACUUCUCCUCUCCUCCUCCUCCUCCUCCUCCUCCCCCCUCCAUCCUCUCUUUGUAUCCAAUGGAUUUCCUCACCAUUCUAAUAUAAGAAGAAUAUAAGAGAGAGAGAGAGAGAGAGAGAGAGAGAGAGAGAGAGAGAAUAUAAAGGACUCAACUCACAGCUUACGAGCGGGGUAGAGUUAAUUAAACAUCUAAUGGCUAUCACGCGGGAGCAAUGAGGAGAGAGAGAGAGAGAGAGAGAGAGAGAGAGAGAAAGAGAGCGAGAGAGAGAACUGAUCAUAAUAAUGGCUCCGUAUGAAAGCGAGAGAGCGAAGAAGCUUGGUGGAGGAGAGGAGCUUCUUUCAUUCGUUCCUUUUCUUCUUUUCUCAUUGCUUUUGAUUUUUGAUGUUUUUUGUUUUUCUUUUAAAGCGGGGGAGGGAGUAUUUAAAAUGGGAGAGGAAAGGGAGAACGAUGAAAAGUUGGCGUGGAGUGGAGGGGUUGCUUGCGAUUUGAGCGUGCGGGGAGGGAGGAUGAUUGCUUUGAUAGGAAUGAGUGGUUGUUGGGGCGUCGGUGUCCGUUGGAUCAGAUGAUUUGGACUUUUAGGAACCGGAUCGGCCGUGGAUGUUGUAGGUUGCAGUUUGGUUCACUUGCGGUGGGGGUCGGACGGUGGGAGUUCGUUGUUGAAGCGGAUGCUUCUUUGGCAUGUAAUUAUUAUUAUUGUAACCAAAAACAAAAAAAAAAACAAAAAAACAAAAGAGAGAGAGAGAGAGAGAGAGAGAGAGAGAGAGAGAAAGAAAUCAAUUCUAAAAAAAAAAAAAGGCAAUCUCAGGAUAAGGACGUUACAGAGCAAGAGAUUUCUCUUGUAGAGAGCUAUUUCUCAUGCUUAUUUGCUCGUUAAUUUUAUAGAAUAAAAGCGAUAAUAAAAAAGUACUUGGCCCAAUUAGAGAUGUCAACGGGCCAGAUUCGAAGCGGAUUUUUAAAAAUUCGAAUUUGACUCCAAACCCGAACUGAAAUCCGAACCCGACGGAUUUUAAAAAUUCAUAUCCAAACUCAAACCCAACCAAAAACUCGAAAUCCGAAUCCAAAAUAAUUAUUUUUUUUUAAUGUUUCAAGAUAUAUUAUAUUAAAUUUAAAAUUUUAAAAUAUAAAUUCAAAUAUAAUAUCAAAUUUUUAUAUACAUAUUAUAUAUAAUAUAAAAUAAAUUCGGAUUCGAAUCGGAUUCGGAUCGGGUACAGUCAAAAUCCAUAUCCGCACUCAUAUCCGUCAGAUUUUUAUUUUUGAUAUUCAUAUUUGAAAUUCUAUUCAUUUAGCAUCGAAAAUUCGCUCUGCUCAUAUUCGAAUUUAGAUAAAAUUUCGAAUAUUUGUACCCAUUGAUAUCCAAGGCCCAAACUGGAGAGUUACCACGACGAGUACUUUAGCCGCGGUAAAACGGGUAAUAACAACAUUAGUUGGUGGUAGAGCCGGAAAUGGACCAAACUAGCCCCACCAUAAGACAAAUCCAAAAGGAUGCUAAAGAGCCAAUUCUGACUUAGUUUUGCCAACUAGCAGGUCACCCAUCAACGUCUAAUAUCUUACCCUUAUCUCCACCCCCAACCCUUGUCCAGCGUGACCAUCUAGCAUCACAUUUUCGUGGGGGGAUUAAAAAAAAUCACACAUCAACUUAGUUUCAUUUUUCUUAAAAAAAGAAAUAAAUAUUGAUAAACGGGUACAACAAACACAUAACUGUUGGACCAAUACGACCCAAUCUUAGCAUGCACAAAUGGAAGCAAAGUUGAUGAAUGCUAGAACUCAUUCCAACAAGAAUAAGUGAUCCAGCUAAUUGGACGGACUACUAAUAACAAAAGUCCAAAAGUUACGGUUCAUAUUACCGAACACUCAAAUGAACGGAAGAACAAGAUAUUUGAACCGCCAGAUAAAGCAUUUACCAGAUGAGCGAAGAUGCUACAAUAAGAAAGCCUUACGUGCAGCGAACCAGUUAGAAGCUGGCACAUAAGCCAGUUAGAAAGCCUUUUGGCGUGUAGUUAGUCCUAUGAGAAAUAAUUCCCUUCAAUUGAAAAGAAUGGUAAAUUGACUGCCCUGUAAUAAGCUGCUGACUAGUGUUUCCGCCUUUUGGCCUGCUUCCUUUCGAGCCUCUGCUGUGCUCUCUGAAAUUCAUCUUCUGUGGGCUCGUGAGUAGCCAACCCACCACACUUAGAUAUAAUGGGCGAAAUUAUUGAGUCAAACUGUUCUUUCCUUCGUCUCCUGCGCUGCGUAACGUCAGCAAUCAAAAAGAAUGUUUUCUAGUAAUGUUGCGCACCAAGCAUGCUCGUAGCGAGAGAACUCACUUCGCUCUUCUCACCAGAGGAUCAAUUGGUAGUCUAGUUUCAGAAACUCGUUUUGCCCGUUUCUUGUAUGCCUUUGUUGUUUUAAGUUCUCCUGCAGAUUAAAUACAAUCAAUUUGAUUAAUGUAAGAGCAUACCACAAGACAUGAUUUUCAAAACAAGCAAUCUAUCUAUUAGCACAGGAAGUCCGAAAGAGAUUAUUAACAGCAAGACUGGAAUAUUACCAUGCAAUCAUGAAAUUGUAUUCUAAAUAACCGGGAGAUCGUUGGUUGCCAUUUUGGAGAUGAAGUGGAAAUUUUACUGGCUUCAUUGCUCACUUUAAUUGGGAACUGAAUCAUACUACAAUUAUGAACCCCAAGUGAUAGGUAUUGAUUAAGAAAACACAUCUCUGGCUAUUGCCUCAUUGAUAAUAUCCUCAAAUCUAUGUGAAUCCAAUUUGGGAUCAGAACACAGCAUCGAACAGAAAAGCGUGGUAUAAGAAGAGCAGUGUCAAUGAAGAUACUGAAGUGCAACAAAAAUAUCACAAAGUACCUGCAGAAACAGGUCAAACUAUAUAUUCUUCCAUCUUGUUUACCUUCUCAUAUUUCGCUUGAAUUUUUUGUAAAGAGCCUUUAAAUCCUUCUUCUCAGAAUCUGAUCCCCUCUAGUUGGUUUCAAAUUCUUCAAUAUCAGCCUCAGUGACCUUAGGUAGAUCGAGAAAGACUUGGUUAGAGCUAAAAGCUAGCAGGUGAUAGUCAGUAAAAUUUAGCUCUUGUGAGCCAUCUGGAACAGCUAAACAAACAGUACCUUUCUGAACAUCGAUCUGAAAGAACGGCUGCAGAUUCUCAGCAGCUUCACUAGAGAAGACCUGAUCAGUGUGGAAAAAUAAUAAGAUAGGAUGCCAAGGACAAGUGAUUUAAGGAGAUUGAAAGUGUGGCAUCUUAUGACAUACAACACCUUCAACACUAUCUGGCUGGAUCGCAACAAUAGAAUCUUCGGAAAAAAAAAAAAAGCCUCCCCGAGACAGCUUCUAGCGACCUUCCGCUCGCUCCAUCCGUUCCUCUAGGACUCUUAGGUGUCUCACUUUGUAGCUUAGUUCAUCUUUUUAAUGAAUGAAGCGGAGCAAGCUACCCCUUUCUUUAAAAAAAAAAACAUCGUCAACACAACCAGUUUGAUCAUAUAUUGCCUGUUUCUCCUCAUCACCAAGAACUGACAUAACAUUCUGUAAAUCUGAAACUUUUCUUUGGCUUCCUAGGUUAAAAAAAAUCAACAAAUCAGCCAAAUGAGCAAAAAAGGGGACAAAAAUUUAAAAAAAAGGAGGGAACCCUGGAAGAAAUUGCAUACCUUGUCCCGACGUUUCUUAUCUGGUGGAGGUGCAAGGCCAACUUGUAGUACGCCUUCUUGAUUUCUUGUUGUGAGGCUGUUCUUUCCAUACCAAGGAUCUGAAAGAAACCAAUUUCAAGUUGGUGAGCUUUGUUUUCUAAGGGAUGAUAUUAGGUUCAUAUUCAAGCCCAGGUUCAUAUCCAAGAAACCAAGUUCAAGUUCGACGAGUUUCUCCUAAAGAUACAUGUGGCUCACCAUAAAGUUUUACUUAUCAAGUGUUCAUUUGAGGAUCAUAUAAAAAAUAGUCUUGAGUCUCCAUUAUAUACUAUAUUUGGCAUAAUGUUCAAUGUGCGUGUAAGACGCCAUUAAGACUGUACAGCAUCAAACGUAUGUUCACCAUGCUAGGAGCACUUCUCCAAAUCUGUCUAAUCCAUUCCAUAAAAGAAUGAGAAUGGAAGGAAAAAAAAAAAAUAAUAAUAAUAAUAAUAAUAAUCUAAUUCUCUGGGGAACGACAUAUCAACCUGCACAGUCGAUGGAAUUGAUCAAUUAUCAGCAACCCAUUAAUCACACUAAUUAUUGUUCUUUUGUUCGCAUUUCAUUAUCCAAUCACUCUAUCAUGCUAAGUUUUAGAUUAAAGCACUUUGAAACAUGAAGAUUACACUAACAAGUCUAUACUUAUUGAUAAGCAAGAUAAGACUGCAUUAUUUGCCAAAAAUUGACCCAGAGAACGAAUCACAAUAGAGAACGAAUCAACACACGAGAGAGAUCAAAUCGAUCCCACAAAAGAGAUGUAGAAAGAAAAAGAUCAAGAAAUAGAUCGGAAUUAUACCUCGUAGAGGCUCUCCUCUGCAUCCAUGGAUUCUUCGUCGCGGACCUUUUCUCGAUGUUGCUUCUCAUCGCCUUUGGAAACCCUAGGUCUCUUCUUACGCUCCAUUUCGCGCGAGAACGAGAAGGUGAUCGAUUGGAAGGAAAGAGACAAAAAAAAUGUUUAAUAUCGGAGGGAGAAUGAGGGAGGGUUCGUUUCUUUUAUAUUCAGGGGCGGUACGUCAAAAAUCUCCCGCCCCUUUUUCGUCUGCGGUCGAGAUCCCGCUUGAGAGCAGUUCGCGGGUCGGAAGUGUUGAGAUUCGUGCAACGAUUGUUCUCGGGUUCAUUGAAUCGCGAGCCGGGUCGGAUGCAAUCGAUCAUUGUUCGAAUCUCCAUCGGGAGAACGCGGGCAUGCGGACAAAGCGAAAUUUGAACUCGGCGAUAGCCACAUUGUACAGUAGAGUCGGUGACGAAAUACCAUAUACUGAGGAUUUUGUUUUAUAAUUAAAUCCGGUUGUGUCAUGUGGCACCUCUCCGGUCUCCUCUGCCAACUAAUAAACCGAAGUCGGCGUCUUGUUACGCAUUUUUGCUGUGUUUCUGAUUACGGCUUGAAAACAGAUGCAUAGUAUUUCUUCAAAAAAUAAAAUAAAAUAAAAUAAAAAAUUUGGAAACACCUAGGCUUCGUUUGGUUUGCGGUUAAGUAAGAACUAGUUAUUUCAGGAAUAGGAUUAAAUUUAAGGUUAAGGUAAGGUUAAAGUAAUUUUGUGUUUGGUUGAGAAUUGGAUUUAGUGUGUUUGGUUGGAGUAGGUGGAAUAAAAAGAUAAAGGAUUAUUAUAAAUAGAAAAUAAUAAUUUUAUCUUAAUUUUUAUAUUUGAAUUUAAAUUUAAAUUUAAAAUUUAAAUAAUUAAAAAUAAUAAUUUUAAAUUUUAAAUAUAUAAUUNUUCUCUGGGGAACGACAUAUCAACCUGCACAGUCGAUGGAAUUGAUCAAUUAUCAGCAACCCAUUAAUCACACUAAUUAUUGUUCUUUUGUUCGCAUUUCAUUAUCCAAUCACUCUAUCAUGCUAAGUUUUAGAUUAAAGCACUUUGAAACAUGAAGAUUACACUAACAAGUCUAGACUUAUUGAUAAGCAAGAUAAGACUGCAUUAUUUGCCAAAAAUUGACCCAGAGAACGAAUCACAAUAGAGAACGAAUCAACACACGAGAGAGAUCAAAUCGAUCCCACAAAAGAGAUGUAGAAAGAAAAAGAUCAAGAAAUAGAUCGGAAUUAUACCUCGUAGAGGCUCUCCUCUGCAUCCAUGGAUUCUUCGUCGCGGACCUUUUCUCGAUGUUGCUUCUCAUCGCCUUUGGAAACCCUAGGUCUCUUCUUACGCUCCAUUUCGCGCGAGAACGAGAAGGUGAUCGAUUGGAAGGAAAGAGACAAAAAAAUGUUUAAUAUCGGAGGGAGAAUGAGGGAGGGUUCGUUUCUUUUAUAUUCAGGGGCGGUACGUCAAAAAUCUCCCGCCCCUUUUUCGUCUGCGGUCGAGAUCCCGCUUGAGAGCAGUUCGCGGGUCGGAAGUGUUGAGAUUCGUGCAACGAUUGUUCUCGGGUUCAUUGAAUCGCGAGCCGGGUCGGAUGCAAUCGAUCAUUGUUCGAAUAUCCACCGGGAGAACGCGGGCAUGCGGACAAAGCGAAAUUUGAACUCGGCGAUAGCCACAUUGUACAGUAGAGUCGGUGACGAAAUAUCAUAUACUGCGGAUUUUGUUUUAUAAUUAAAUCCGGUUGUGUCAUGUGGCACCUCUCCUCUGCCAACUAAUAAACCGAAGUCGGCGUCUUGUUACGCAUUUUUGCCGUGUUUCUGAUUACGGCUUGAAAACAGAUGAAUAGUAUUUCUUCAAAAAAUAAAAUAAAAUAAUUUGGAAACACCUAGGCUUCGUUUGGUUCGCGGUUAAGUAAGAACUAGUUAUUUCAGGAAUAGGAUUAAACUCAGGGUUAAGGUAAGGUUAGAGUAAUUUUGUAUUUGGUUGAGAAUUGGAUUUAGUUCAGAUAUAAGUAAAAUAGUGUUUGGUUGGAAUAGGUAGAAUAAAAAGGAUAGAGGGUUAUUAUAAAUAGAAAAUAAUAAUUUUAUCUCAAUUCUUAUAUAUAUAUAUAUAUAUAUAUAUAUAUAUAUAUAUAUAUUAAAUAAGUAUGAGAUUAACUUAAUCUCACCGUAUUCCUGGGCCCCACCCCUAAAAUUUUUUUUUUUGGGAGUAAAAGGGGGGGGAUAACCUCUUAUCCCCCCUUUUAACCUCCAGCCAAAUGGGGGCCUAAUGAAUUGGGUGGCAAAGCUUCGUUGUUUGGUUAACGUGCGCCUAAUUGAUGGAGAUUCGUGUGGGAAUAGCAUGUUGAAAGAUCAAAUGUUUCUAGUAUGGAUAAUAUAUUAUACAUUCAAAUACAAAAAUGGAAAAAAUAUAAGAUCUAUUACACCAAGAGAGACAAGAGAUUAUUUUUUAAAACUAAAAAGAAGAUUCACACCAAGAGAGAGACAAUCUUUCAAAACCAAAAAAAAGAAAAAACAAGCGUGGAAGAGGAAAUCACGAAAUUACCUUAUGGUAAAUUAUAAUGAUGCUCCUUGAAUUUUUCUUCAUUUUGAAAUAUAACGGUAGAUAAACAGCACCUAUGUUUCUAUAAAUAUUAUUUUCGUAGUCAUUUUUCAUUACUAUUGCUAACUCUAUAUUGCUGUCGUGAGCUGCUAUAAUUUUUUUAAGAUAAAAAUUUAUAGAAAUUAUUGUGAUUUGGCUAGCUAAUCUUUUAAAAUUUUAAUUUUACUAUCCAAUCUAUCAAUUUAUUUGAUUUGAAUCAUUCAACAGUAUUUUAAUUUUAAAAUUUAAGCUAAUUACUUACUUUAAUAAAUUUAUAAUUAUAAAAAUUAUAUGUAUUAUACUAACUAAAAUUUAUAAAAAUAAAUGAAUCAUUCAAGUUUUUAAAGUCAAAAUCUCACUGACUGAUUCAAAUCAAAUAAAAAAAAAAAGCUAAAUAAUA
Molecule: long non-coding RNA, 32426 nt
Filed under: Ananas comosus (pineapple)
Lineage: Eukaryota; Viridiplantae; Streptophyta; Magnoliopsida; Poales; Bromeliaceae
Description: long non-coding RNA (ACOM_LNC004598)
Source: RNAcentral